CAGCCGUAAACUAUGCGCGUUAGGUGUACUGGUGACCACGAGUCACCGGGGUGCCGAAGGGAAACCGUGAAACGUGCCGCCUGGGAAGUACGGUCGCAAGGCUGAAACUUAAAGGAAUUGGCGGGGGAGCACCACAACAGGUGGAGCCUGCGGUUUAAUUGGACUCAACGCCGGGAAGCUCACCGGAUAGGACAGCAGAAUGAUUGCCGGGCUGAAGACCCUGCAUGACUAGCUGAGAGGAGGUGCAUGGCGUCAGUGACUU
RNAcentral lists this ribosomal RNA (262 nucleotides) under uncultured archaeon. RNAcentral's name for it is "partial 16S ribosomal RNA". It matches the Rfam family "Archaeal small subunit ribosomal RNA", at positions 748 to 1009 of the family's 1478-position model. The record is from RNAcentral.